This 650-nucleotide ribosomal RNA is filed under the name uncultured bacterium. Its description in RNAcentral is "bacterial SSU rRNA". It matches the Rfam family "Bacterial small subunit ribosomal RNA", at positions 8 to 703 of the family's 1533-position model. The record is from RNAcentral.
AGAGUUUGAUCAUGGCUCAGAACGUACGCUGGCGGCACGCCUAACACAUGCAAGUCGAACGAAGUAGCAAUACUUAGUGGCAGACGGGUGAGUAACAUGUGGGUAUCUACCCUUUGGCCCGGAAUAACACGAGGAAACUUGUGCUAAUACCGGAUAAGUCUUUACGGAGAAAGCUUUAUGCACCAUUGGAUGAGCCCGCACUUGAUUAGUUUGUUGGUAGGGUAAUGGCCUACCAAGACUAUGAUCAAUAGCUGAUUUGAGAGGAUGAUCAGUCACAUUGGGACUGAGACACGGCCCAAACUCCUACGGGAGGCAGCAGUGGGGAAUCUUGCACAAUGGAGGAAACUCUGAUGCAGCGAUGCCGCGUGAGUGAAGAAGGCCUUUGGGUUGUAAAGCUCUUUCGUCGGGGAAGAAAAUGACUGUACCCGAAUAAGAAGGUCCGGCUAACUUCGUGCCAGCAGCCGCGGUAAUACGAAGGGACCUAGCGUAGUUCGGAAUUACUGGGCUUAAAGAGUUCGUAGGUGGUUGAAAAAGUUGGUGGUGAAAUCCCAGAGCUUAACUCUGGAACUGCCAUCAAAACUUUUCAGCUAGAGUAUGAUAGAGGAAAGCAGAAUUUCUAGUGUAGAGGUGAAAUUCGUAGAUAUUAGAAA